AGUGAACAAUUAAACGGCCGCGGUACCCUAACCGUGCAAAGGUAGCAUAAUCAUUUGUCUACUAAUUAUAGACCUGCAUGAAAGGCAAAAUGAGGGUCUAACUGUCUCUUAUAAUGAAUCAAUUAAACUGAUCUCCUAGUAAAAAAGCUAGGAUUUAAACAUAAGACCAGAAGACCCUGUGAAGCUUAAACUAACUUAUUAAACCCUAUAAUAACCACUUUCGGUUGGGGCGACCUUGGAAAAAAAAAGAACUUCCAAAAUUGUGACAUUCACACCACCCAGGCCCACAAGCCAAUUAAACGACCCAGCACAGCUGAUCACUGAACCAAGUUACUCCAGGGAUAACAGCGCAAUCCUCUUCAAGAGCCCAUAUCAAAAAGAGGGUUUACGACCUCGAUGUUGGAUCAGGACAUCCUAAUGGUGCAGCCGCUAUUAAGGGUUCGUUUGUUC
RNAcentral lists this ribosomal RNA (450 nucleotides) under Chironius maculoventris. Its description in RNAcentral is "partial large subunit ribosomal RNA". It matches the Rfam family "Bacterial large subunit ribosomal RNA", at positions 1911 to 2582 of the family's 2925-position model. Lineage: Eukaryota; Metazoa; Chordata; Lepidosauria; Squamata; Colubridae. The record is from RNAcentral.